Molecule: unclassified non-coding RNA, 220 nt
Filed under: fungal sp.
Lineage: Eukaryota; Fungi
Description: partial internal transcribed spacer region
Rfam family: Eukaryotic small subunit ribosomal RNA (bases 1-46)
Source: RNAcentral
AAGUCGUAACAAGGUUUCCGUAGGUGAACCUGCGGAAGGAUCAUUACUGUAGGUCUUCGCAAGAAGCCUGCAAGAUAGCACCCUUUGCCUUUACAGUACCUAUUGUUUCCUCGGUGGGCUUGCCUGCCAAUGGGGACCUCAACCAACCUUUUGCAGUAGUAUGUAAACGUCUGAUAACUAUAAAUUAUUACAACUUUCAACAAUGGAUCUCUUGGUUCUG